GACAGAGGUCCCGAGCGUUAGGCGGAAUCACUGGGCGUAAAGGGCGCGUAGGUGGCGCGACAAGUCAGUGGUGAAAGCUCGACGCUCAACGUCGAGUCGGCCACUGAUACUGUUGGGCUGGAGCACUGUAGAGGCUAAUGGAAUUCCGGGUGUAGCGGUGGAAUGCGUAGAGAUCCGGAAGAACACCGGUGGCGAAGGCGGUUAGCUGGGCAGUUGCUGACACUGAGGCGCGACAGCGUGGGGAGCAAACAGG
This 253-nucleotide ribosomal RNA is filed under the name uncultured bacterium. Its description in RNAcentral is "partial 16S ribosomal RNA". It matches the Rfam family "Bacterial small subunit ribosomal RNA", at positions 524 to 776 of the family's 1533-position model. The record is from RNAcentral.